UCCCGAUCAGAUUUUUACCUUUAUAGGCACUUUCGGCAAAACUAAAUCAUAUAAAUUAUUCAAUAUGAGUAUUCGAUAUUUUACGAGUCAGCAGGUGGCUCGUUCAGAGGUUGGACCGUCGGUAUCUAUAAUAUCGUAAACGAAAUCAAAAUGAACAGUAUGAAGAGGAGUGCCGCUGUGCCAUAUGUAUAUUGUCACCGCCGUCGCCGAGGGAGUAAAUAAGGUUUCAGACACGUUGAUGAAAAUGCAGGCGACCGUGAAUAUUAUCACCAUCAGUUCAACACACUUCACACUAUAUAAGCUCGGGGUGGUCACGAAAUUCGCACCGGGCUUAUUUAUCAACACAAAGGUCUAAUACUCAAAUCGAAUCACGGAAUCGUAAUAAUCAUCGCGAUUGCAAUAUAUUCAGAGACGAGAAUAAUUAUUACAGUACCUAAUGGCAGCCUUGAAACGUAGUCGUUGUGUAGGCGUUGUACUCAAUCACAAACAGACCGCAAUAUUUUAGUUGUUAUAGAUUCAAUUGCAGUCCCGCUAAUGAGGUUACACCGCCUAUACGACCUACGAACCGAAUUUAUUAUGGACGUCUUCACCGUGCACCACAAUACUACUGCAAGGCGCUCGACGACGACCAAAUAAUAUACAGUAAAAUCCCGGUACAACGAACUCCAGAGGACCGAAUUUUUUUUCGUUAUAACGAAAAUUCGAAUAAGCUCUUUAU
This is a long non-coding RNA of Rhopalosiphum padi (bird cherry-oat aphid), 718 nucleotides long. RefSeq lists it as uncharacterized. NCBI's taxonomy places the organism in Eukaryota, Metazoa, Arthropoda, Insecta, Hemiptera, Aphididae. The record is from RefSeq and is a predicted model, not a curated record. The transcript has 3 exons.